GCAUCACCUUUCGAGUGGGGUUUUGGAGUUUUAGAAGUGUGUCAAAACCUUUGAGAUUUCAAAAUGCUCGCUCCUUUGGUGUACUUUCUCGUAGGUAGGUUAACAUCGAUUUCGAUUCAUCAUAAAAGGAUUGGAGGAAUGUAGCUUCGAUCUUGUAUUGAAGUGUUAUAGCCUUUGGUAAAUGUGAUGAUUGGGAUCGAGGAUUGCAACGAAUACCCUUCUGGGCUAUCCGCCUGAUCUCUGAUACGUGGCCUUGGUAUCGAAAGCGUGCUUAUGGUAUUAAGGUAUUACGGUCAAAAGGUUAGAACGGAUUACAUUCGUUAAGGAUGUUGACGUA
Molecule: ribosomal RNA, 337 nt
Filed under: uncultured Glomeromycotina
Lineage: Eukaryota; Fungi; Glomeromycota
Description: LSU rRNA
Source: RNAcentral